CAGCAGCCACGGUAAUACGAGGGGGGCAAGCGUUGUUCGGAAUUAUUGGGCGUAAAGGGCGCGUAGGCGGUUUGGUAAGUUAGAGGUGAAAGCCUGGAGCUCAACUCCAGAAUUGCCUUUAAGACUGCCGAGCUAGCAGGUGAGAGAGGUAAGUGGAAUUCCGAGUGUAGAGGUGAAAUUCGUAGAUAUUCGGAAGAACACCAGUGGCGAAGGCGGCUUACUGGCUCAUUCUAGACGCUGAGGUGCGAAAGCGUGGGGAGCAAACAGGAUUAGAUACCCCAGUAGUCCCUGUCUCUUAUAC
Molecule: ribosomal RNA, 301 nt
Filed under: uncultured bacterium
Lineage: Bacteria
Description: partial 16S ribosomal RNA
Rfam family: Bacterial small subunit ribosomal RNA
Source: RNAcentral